CCUAAGGUAGCGAAAUUCCUUGUCGGGUAAGUUCCGACCUGCACGAAUGGCAUAAUGAUGGCGGCGCUGUCUCCAGCAGAGGCUCAGUGAAAUCGAAUUCGCCGUGAAGAUGCGGUGUACCCGCGGCUAGACGGAAAGACCCCGUGAACCUUUACUGCAGCUUGACAUUGAACUUUGACCUUACUUGUGUAGGAUAGGUGGGAGGCUUUGAAACUCGGACGCUAGUUCGAGUGGAGCCGUCCUUGAAAUACCACCCUGGUAAUGUUGAGGUUCUAACUCUGUCCCGUUAUCCGGGACGAGGACCAUGUCUGGUGGGUAGUUUGACUGGGGCGGUCUCCUCCUAAAGAGUAACGGAGGAGUACGAAGGUGCGCUCAGCGUGGUCGGAAAUCACGCGUAGAGUAUAAAGGCAAAAGCGCGCUUAACUGCGAGACCCACAAGUCGAGCAGGUACGAAAGUAGGUCUUAGUGAUCCGGUGGUUCUGUAUGGAAGGGCCAUCGCUCAACGGAUAAAAGGUACUCUGGGGAUAACAGGCUGAUACCGCCCAAGAGUUCAUAUCGACGGCGGUGUUUGGCACCUCGAUGUCGGCUCAUCUCAUCCUGGGGCUGAAGCAGGUCCCAAGGGUAUGGCUGUUCGCCAUUUAAAGAGGUACGCGAGCUGGGUUUAGAACGUCGUGAGACAGUUCGGUCCCUAUCUACCGUGGGCGCUGGAAAUUUGAGAGGAUCUGCUCCUAGUACGAGAGGACCAGAGUGGACGAACCUCUGGUGUACCGGUUGUGACGCCAGUCGCAUCGCCGGGUAGCUAUGUUCGGAAGGGAUAACCGCUGAAAGCAUCUAAGCGGGAAGCCUACCUCAAGAUAAGAUUUCCCCGAGGCUUUAUGCCUCCUAAAGAGCCGUUGAAGACUACGACGUUGAUAGGUUGGAUGUGGAAGCAUAGCGAUAUGUGAAGCUGACCAAUACUAAUUGCUCGUGAGGCUUGACUAUACAACACCCAAACAGUUG
This 999-nucleotide ribosomal RNA is filed under the name Acinetobacter towneri. RNAcentral's name for it is "partial 23S ribosomal RNA". It matches the Rfam family "Bacterial large subunit ribosomal RNA", at positions 1950 to 2925 of the family's 2925-position model. Lineage: Bacteria; Pseudomonadati; Pseudomonadota; Gammaproteobacteria; Moraxellales; Moraxellaceae. The record is from RNAcentral.